Molecule: small RNA, 77 nt
Filed under: Flavobacterium sp. A45
Lineage: Bacteria; Pseudomonadati; Bacteroidota; Flavobacteriia; Flavobacteriales; Flavobacteriaceae
Description: Flavo-1 RNA
Rfam family: Flavo-1 RNA
Source: Rfam by way of RNAcentral
CCCUAGCCCUGAUAGAAACGGCUUCCUUUUCUGCUUCCUUCAAGCAGAAAAAGAUAUAGUGGAUAGCAGGAAUUUCU